AGAACGAACGCUGGCGGCAGGCUUAACACAUGCAAGUCGAGCGCCCCGCAAGGGGAGCGGCAGACGGGUGAGUAACGCGUGGGAACAUACCCUCCGGUUCGGAAUAGCUCAGGGAAACUUGGAUUAAUACCGGAUACGGCCUAGCGGCGAAAGAUUCAUCGCCGGAGGAUUGGCCCGCGUCUGAUUAGCUAGUUGGUGGGGUAAUGGCCCACCAAGGCGACGAUCAGUAGCUGGUCUGAGAGGAUGAUCAGCCACAUUGGGACUGAGACACGGCCCAAACUCCUACGGGAGGCAGCAGUGGGGAAUAUUGGACAAUGGGCGCAAGCCUGAUCCAGCCAUGCCGCGUGAGUGAUGACGGCCUUAGGGUUGUAAAGCUCUUUCGCUAGGGACGAUAAUGACGGUACCUAGACAAGAAGCCCGGCUAACUUCGUGCCAGUAGCCGC
Molecule: ribosomal RNA, 443 nt
Filed under: uncultured bacterium
Lineage: Bacteria
Description: SSU rRNA
Rfam family: Bacterial small subunit ribosomal RNA
Source: RNAcentral